UACGUAGGGUGCGAGCGUUGUCCGGAAUUAUUGGGCGUAAAGAGCUUGUAGGCGGUUUGUCGCGUCUGCCGUGAAAAUCCGGGGCUCAACCCCGGACUUGCGGUGGGUACGGGCAGACUAGAGUGUGGUAGGGGAGACUGGAAUUCCUGGUGUAGCGGUGAAAUGCGCAGAGAUCGGGAGGAACACCCGUAGCGAAGGCGGUUCUCUGGGCCGGUACUGACGCUGAGGAGCGAAAGCGUGGGGAGCAAACAGG
Molecule: ribosomal RNA, 253 nt
Filed under: uncultured bacterium
Lineage: Bacteria
Description: partial 16S ribosomal RNA
Rfam family: Bacterial small subunit ribosomal RNA
Source: RNAcentral